GACGAACGCUGGCGGCGUGCCUAAUACAUGCAAGUAGGAGCAAGUUGCGAACGGGUGAGUAACGCGUAGGUAACUACCUAUUAGAGGGGGAUAACUAUUGGAAACGAUAGCUAAUACCGCAUACUAGUAGAUGGACCUGCGUUGUAUUAGCUAGUAGGUAGGGUAAAGGCUCACCAAGGCGACGAUCGGUAGCUGGUCUGAGAGGACGACCAGCCACACUGGGACUGAGACACGGCCCAGACUCCUACGGGAGGCAGCAGUGGGGAAUUUUGGACAAUGGGGGCAACCCUGAUCCAGCCAUGCCGCGUGCAGGAUGAAGGUCUUCGGAUUGUAAACUGCUUUUGUCAGGGAAGCGGUACCUGAAGAAUAAGCACCGGCUAACUACGUGCCAGCAGCCGCGGUAAUUC
RNAcentral lists this ribosomal RNA (407 nucleotides) under uncultured bacterium. RNAcentral describes it as "partial 16S ribosomal RNA". It matches the Rfam family "Bacterial small subunit ribosomal RNA", at positions 28 to 526 of the family's 1533-position model. The record is from RNAcentral.